This 31-nucleotide transfer RNA is filed under the name Drosophila straubae. RNAcentral describes it as "partial tRNA-Met". The record is from RNAcentral. Lineage: Eukaryota; Metazoa; Arthropoda; Insecta; Diptera; Drosophilidae.
AUUUAUAAAGGUUUAAAUCCUUUUCUUUUUA